This 253-nucleotide ribosomal RNA is filed under the name uncultured bacterium. RNAcentral describes it as "partial 16S ribosomal RNA". It matches the Rfam family "Bacterial small subunit ribosomal RNA", at positions 524 to 776 of the family's 1533-position model. The record is from RNAcentral.
UACGUAGGUGGCAAGCGUUGUCCGGAAUUAUUGGGCGUAAAGCGCGCGCAGGCGGUCCUUUAAGUCUGAUGUGAAAGCCCACGGCUCAACCGUGGAGGGUCAUUGGAAACUGGGGGACUUGGGUGCAGGAGAGAAGAGUGGAAUUCCACGUGUAGCGGUGAAAUGCGUAGAGAUGUGGAGGAACACCAGUGGCGAAGGCGACUCUGUGGCCUGUAACUGACGCUGAGGCGCGAAAGCGUGGGGAGCAAACGGG